GCUUGCUUUUUGCUGACGAGUGGCGAACGGGUGCGUAACGCGUAUGCAACCUACCUUCUUCUGAGGAAUAGCCCAGAGAAAUUUGGAUUAAAACCUCAUGAUAAUAUUUAUUCGCAUGUUUAAAUAUUUAAAAUUUCGAUGGAAGAAGAUGGGCAUGCGUAACAUUAGUUUGUUGGUGAGGUAAUGGCUCACCAAGACUACGAUGUUUAGGGGGUCCGAGAGGAUGAUCCCCCACACUGGUACUGAGACACGGACCAGACUCCUACGGGAGGCAGCAGUGAGGAAUAUUGGUCAAUGGACGAAAGUCUGAACCAGCCAUGCCGCGUGAAGGAUGACUGCCCUACGGGUUGUAAACUUCUUUUGUAUAGGAAGAAACCCCUCUACGUGUAGAGGGUUGACGGUACUAUUCGAAUAAGCACCGGCUAACUCCGUGCCAGCAGCCGCGGUAAUACGGAGGGUGCGAGCGUUAUCCGGAAUUAUUGGGUUUAAAGGGUGCGUA
This 499-nucleotide ribosomal RNA is filed under the name uncultured Bacteroidota bacterium. Its description in RNAcentral is "bacterial SSU rRNA". It matches the Rfam family "Bacterial small subunit ribosomal RNA", at positions 78 to 573 of the family's 1533-position model. The record is from RNAcentral. Lineage: Bacteria; Pseudomonadati; Bacteroidota.